RNAcentral lists this long non-coding RNA (679 nucleotides) under Sus scrofa (pig). Its description in RNAcentral is "lncRNA (ENSSSCG00055030986.1)". The record is from RNAcentral. Lineage: Eukaryota; Metazoa; Chordata; Mammalia; Artiodactyla; Suidae.
GGCCCGGGGCCGCCGCCUGGGAACUUCCCAGCACGCACUCAGCCGCUCUGCUCCUCACCCUCAAUUGUUGAUGAGCCUGGGCGCUCGUCAAUGCACCGAAGACAACCUAUUCUGCUUUCUUAGAGACGGAGCUGAGAAAUGAGCUGCCCAAGGAAUUUGGCGAUGAGAGUGAAAGGCAGUUUGGCGCCAGCAGCCAAGUUGUAGAAUUGCUUUGGAGGAGGCUGCCCGGGGUGCACAAGAGAAUUGACAAGAACAGACACCGUUGCAGACCAAAGGCAUGCCUGAUUGCACUUGAGUCAGAUCGCUGGGACGCAGCCUCUGCUCUAACUAUUUGUGGCCGAAUAAAGGAAAGGAGACUAGAAACAGGACUGCCAGUGGUAUUCCUAAAAGGAAAACAAGGACACUCCAGAAGGAGGGGGAAAACAGCCCAGCUGGUGUGUGCAUUUUUUUUUUUUUUUUUAAAGGAGAAUCCCUCAGGCCCCAACCUUGGCAUAGCCAACCUGCUUAAAUUGAGAAUUAAACCUUCUCUGGAGCUCUGCCACUCUUACGAUUAAUUCCUGAGGCUGGUGCUCAACUUUUUCUGCAUCUGCUGCAAGAGUUACGCCAGCACUUAGACUUGCCACAGAUCAAGUUACCAAUUGCUUCUGUUGUGUUCACUUAUUCCCAGAUGCUCUUUGAG